UACGAAGGGGGCUAGCGUUGCUCGGAAUUACUGGGCGUAAAGGGCUCGUAGGCGGCCAACUAAGUCGGAUGUGAAAUCCCCAGGCUCAACCUGGGAACUGCAUCCGAUACUGGAUGGCUUGAAUUCGGGAGAGGGAUGCAGAAUUCCAGGUGUAGCGGUGAAAUGCGUAGAUAUCUGGAGGAAUACCGGUGGCGAAGGCGGCAUCCUGGACCGACAUUGACGCUGAGGAGCGAAAGCUAGGGGAGCAAACGGG
This 253-nucleotide ribosomal RNA is filed under the name uncultured bacterium. Its description in RNAcentral is "partial 16S ribosomal RNA". It matches the Rfam family "Bacterial small subunit ribosomal RNA", at positions 524 to 776 of the family's 1533-position model. The record is from RNAcentral.